Long non-coding RNA from Mesocricetus auratus (golden hamster), 818 nucleotides. RefSeq lists it as uncharacterized. The transcript is spliced from 5 exons. The record is from RefSeq and is a predicted model, not a curated record. NCBI's taxonomy places the organism in Eukaryota, Metazoa, Chordata, Mammalia, Rodentia, Cricetidae.
AGGCUUUUGAAAUUAAAUCCCGUCUCCUGGUACCACCCCCUAUCCCGCCCACCAUAGGGCGGGAUCUGUCUUCGAAACCUCCUGUACCCCUUUCUGCCACCUCUACCCGGUUAUGGAUUUUCAUCCUCAGCAGAUCUCAAAGCCAAAGCCUGCGGUCUAGGUCCCCUGCUCCCAGGUGGCAAUGCAGUUCCUGUACACAUUCACACAGCCCCCAGGCUCCAGUUAGCAAGGGGCGUGUCGAGGAUGGAGAUGAGCGUCCAUCUGCCCGCGGACCGCAGAUGAAGUUUGAGAGAAGGAGAGCUCAAACUUGUGACGGAGACUACAGAAGACUCAGUAGUGGGAUGGAUAAAGACCCUUGACCGCUUCGUUCAAGCCUUGAGUCGACUGUCUGUGCAAAGGCGGUGUUGACGAACAAGUUCCUGCCUUAUGAACAUUGGCCAACCUCUUUGGGACCAGCUUGUAGCUGCCCCAUAGCCCUGCUGCCCCCAUCAAUGAAAAGUGACAAGGCUGGAGCCUGUACUGAUUUAAGAAGGAGCCUGAUGACAUCACUGUGCCUCUUGUUUCAGAAGGCCCAGGAGCACAGUGUCCCAGCCUACCUACUAUCUGCAGACACACUUCAGGGAUUGCCAUCUUUAGGCUGAAUUUCAAGCAUCACAUUCAAAACAGGAAAACAUCCGUUGUGGGGGUUAAAUGGGAUCCACUCAGGUAGCUGGUAACUUUCAGCAGAUGUAUGGAAUCAUCACAGCCUCUGUUGUGUGAGCAUUAGGCCGCGCAGCAGACGUGACAAUUGGAGGUCCCACUGAGAUCGUGAAAGCGAG